Molecule: ribosomal RNA, 1490 nt
Filed under: uncultured organism
Description: SSU rRNA
Rfam family: Bacterial small subunit ribosomal RNA
Source: RNAcentral
AUGAACGCUGGCGGCGUGCCUAAUACAUGCAAGUCGAACGAGUUCUGAUUAUUGAAAGGUGCUUGCAUCUUGAUUUAAUUUUGAACGAGUGGCGGACGGGUGAGUAACACGUGGGUAACCUGCCCUUAAGUGGGGGAUAACAUUUGGAAACAGAUGCUAAUACCGCAUAAAUCCAAAAACCGCAUGGUUCUUGGCUGAUAGAUGGCGUAAGCUAUCGCUUUUGGAUGGACCCGCGGCGUAUUAGCUAGUUGGUGAGGUAACGGCUCACCAAGGCAAUGAUACGUAGCCGAACUGAGAGGUUGAUCGGCCACAUUGGGACUGAGACACGGCCCAAACUCCUACGGGAGGCAGCAGUAGGGAAUCUUCCACAAUGGACGCAAGUCUGAUGGAGCAACGCCGCGUGAGUGAAGAAGGCUUUCGGGUCGUAAAACUCUGUUGUUGGAGAAGAAUGGUCGGCAGAGUAACUGUUGUCGGCGUGACGGUAUCCAACCAGAAAGCCACGGCUAACUACGUGCCAGCAGCCGCGGUAAUACGUAGGUGGCAAGCGUUAUCCGGAUUUAUUGGGCGUAAAGCGAGCGCAGGCGGUUUUUUAAGUCUGAUGUGAAAGCCCUCGGCUUAACCGAGGAAGUGCAUCGGAAACUGGGAAACUUGAGUGCAGAAGAGGACAGUGGAACUCCAUGUGUAGCGGUGAAAUGCGUAGAUAUAUGGAAGAACACCAGUGGCGAAGGCGGCUGUCUGGUCUGUAACUGACGCUGAGGCUCGAAAGCAUGGGUAGCGAACAGGAUUAGAUACCCUGGUAGUCCAUGCCGUAAACGAUGAAUGCUAGGUGUUGGAGGGUUUCCGCCCUUCAGUGCCGCAGCUAACGCAUUAAGCAUUCCGCCUGGGGAGUACGACCGCAAGGUUGAAACUCAAAGGAAUUGACGGGGGCCCGCACAAGCGGUGGAGCAUGUGGUUUAAUUCGAAGCAACGCGAAGAACCUUACCAGGUCUUGACAUCUUUUGAUCACCUGAGAGAUCAGGUUUCCCCUUCGGGGGCAAAAUGACAGGUGGUGCAUGGUUGUCGUCAGCUCGUGUCGUGAGAUGUUGGGUUAAGUCCCGCAACGAGCGCAACCCUUAUGACUAGUUGCCAGCAUUUAGUUGGGCACUCUAGUAAGACUGCCGGUGACAAACCGGAGGAAGGUGGGGAUGACGUCAAAUCAUCAUGCCCCUUAUGACCUGGGCUACACACGUGCUACAAUGGAUGGUACAACGAGUUGCGAGACCGCGAGGUCAAGCUAAUCUCUUAAAGCCAUUCUCAGUUCGGACUGUAGGCUGCAACUCGCCUACACGAAGUCGGAAUCGCUAGUAAUCGCGGAUCAGCACGCCGCGGUGAAUACGUUCCCGGGCCUUGUACACACCGCCCGUCACACCAUGAGAGUUUGUAACACCCGAAGCCGGUGGCGUAACCCUUUUAGGGAGCGAGCCGUCUAAGGUGGGACAAAUGAUUAGGGU